This 370-nucleotide unclassified non-coding RNA is filed under the name fungal sp. RNAcentral's name for it is "partial internal transcribed spacer region". The stretch from base 1 to 46 matches the Rfam family "Eukaryotic small subunit ribosomal RNA", at positions 1786 to 1831 of the family's 1831-position model. Lineage: Eukaryota; Fungi. The record is from RNAcentral.
AAGUCGUAACAAGGUUUCCGUAGGUGAACCUGCGGAAGGAUCAUUAACACGUAUCCAACGUUAAACCCCCCGUGAACCUUCAGUGCGCUCGCACUUUCUUAGAAAAGGUAGCAAUCCCUGGUAAAUCAUUGCCGAACAGUUUUGAUUCAGGGACUUCUGCGUAGACUGUGCUUGAGCGUGAGGCAAGUGGCCUGGCAUUCCUCUGCUUGUUGGUGUCUGAAAGUGUCACCAGCUCUGUACGAAUGGCGCAGCCGGCGACCGGGUCACUGGGCGCGAGCCCCCCUCGUCACCUUUGCAUGAAAACGGGCCUGCGCUUAAUUGUGCGGCCACCAAACUCGAACAACUGUUAACAAUGGAUAUCUUGGUUCUC